Molecule: long non-coding RNA, 1309 nt
Organism: Zalophus californianus (California sea lion)
Lineage: Eukaryota; Metazoa; Chordata; Mammalia; Carnivora; Otariidae
Exons: 5
Source: RefSeq, a predicted model, not a curated record
GCAGGUUCCUGGAGCCUGAAGUGGGACUCAAUCCUGGGACCCUGAGCCGAAGGCAGAUGCUUAACUGACUGAGCCACUCAGGCAUCCCUGGAUAUGUGUUUUAAAUGGGAUGCAAAAUUUAAGGUUUUCUGUUUAAAACAUGAGGGAGAGCAGUAAAUGACCAACUGAAUGAAAAUGAAAACUUAAGAGUUGCUGCCCCAGUAGAGUAAAUGCCUUUGGAAGUUGGAUACUCUCAAGGAAGAUUCUGUCACCUGCAGUGGAGCACAACACCUGCAAGAAAGGGUUAGGCCUUGCCAGAUACUUCUCAGAACACAGGAACGAGGAUUCUCUGAUAGCAUUCUGUGUCAUCCAAUUGGCUACAUAGGACCAAUGGGCUACAGGCAACACGUCUACCAUGUCGGCAGCAAAAGGAGAGAUGAAGAUUUGAAGACAUAAAUUAAUUCAAGGAGGUGUCAAGUUGAAGUUUGGGAUAGAUUUAGAACUCAAGAUUCAGGAAGUCUCCUUUGCAUGUUGGAUAGUCUUGAGAACACGAAUCGCUUUGAAUCUGAUGAGGAAGACUACCCAUCUUCCAGAGAGUACAGAUAUUGAGUUGGAUUCAGUGAUGAGACUUUGGAUUUUUUUUUUCCCUUGAGGGUAGAAUUCAUAUGUUCUAUAUGUGAAGAGAGCAACGGGCUAUCUGGUAACCACAAAACCAGACUGACAAGUAUUGCUGGGAUUCACCACCAUUGAUGUUCUUGCAUUUUCCUGGACUCACAGCUAGAUCACAUUUCCCCACGUAUUUCAUUCUAAAUGGGGCAUAUAACUAGCUCUUGCCAUUGGAAUGUGAUAUGUCUCAUUGUCAGGACAAUGUAAUUGCAAGUAAGUAUGCUUGCUUCCAACUCUUUCUAGUUUUUUUCUUCUUCCUUAUCUGCUGUCUAGAUGUGACAGCCAUUAAAGAGUGCUAGAAGACCUAGAAUAUGACAGAAGAGAAGAACCAGGUGCCUCAAUUGUUCCAGAGAAGAAUGCUGGUUACACAUAUCAAGCUGUAAGCUGUGAUGUAUGCAAGAAAUACACUUGUAUUUGUGUUAAACCUGAGGUUUGGUGUAGUUUGUUUGCUUGUUUAUUUUACUGAUGAUCUAGAAACUCAAAGGAAAUGGAAAGAAGAGAUCUAGGUAAAUAUACGUAGACAUGAUAAACUUAAGAGAAUAAGUGCAUGAAAUAGAAAAAAAAAGCAAUAAAAAGGGAUAUAUCACCUAAGUCACAUUUGUUUCCUUGAAAAGACUGAUAAGAUAGAGUCCAUUUGGCAUUACAGAUUAUUAAAGAAAGGGAG